This 473-nucleotide ribosomal RNA is filed under the name uncultured organism. RNAcentral's name for it is "partial 16S ribosomal RNA". It matches the Rfam family "Bacterial small subunit ribosomal RNA", at positions 335 to 799 of the family's 1533-position model. The record is from RNAcentral.
ACUCCUACGGGAGGCAGCAGUGGGGAAUUUUGGACAAUGGGCGAAAGCCUGAUCCAGCAAUGCCGCGUGAGUGAAGAAGGCCUUCGGGUUGUAAAGCUCUUUUGUCAGGGAAGAAACGGUGAAAGCUAAUAUCUUUUGCUAAUGACGGUACCUGAAGAAUAAGCACCGGCUAACUACGUGCCAGCAGCCGCGGUAAUACGUAGGGUGCAAGCGUUAAUCGGAAUUACUGGGCGUAAAGCGUGCGCAGGCGGUUUUGUAAGUCUGAUGUGAAAUCCCCGGGCUCAACCUGGGAAUUGCAUUGGAGACUGCAAGGCUAGAAUCUGGCAGAGGGGGGUAGAAUUCCACGUGUAGCAGUGAAAUGCGUAGAUAUGUGGAGGAACACCGAUGGCGAAGGCAGCCCCCUGGGUCAAGAUUGACGCUCAUGCACGAAAGCGUGGGGAGCAAACAGGAUUAGAUACCCGUGUAGUCCCAUG